CAUUAGAUAACUAUACAAAAUAAGUACUGGUCUCUUAAAUCAAUAAAAGUAAUUUUACUUCUAAUGA
RNAcentral lists this transfer RNA (67 nucleotides) under Uenoa lobata. RNAcentral describes it as "tRNA-Lys". Lineage: Eukaryota; Metazoa; Arthropoda; Insecta; Trichoptera; Uenoidae. The record is from RNAcentral.